UACAAGCAACAAUAAAGUGAAACCGCAAAAGGCUCAUUAUAUCAGUUAUGGUUCCUUAGAUCGUAUCCACAUUACUUGGAUAACUGUGGUAAUUCUAGAGCUAAUACAUGCAUUAAAAGAGAAACCGGUAAAAUGGAAUCUCUGCUUUUAUUAGAUUUAAACCAAUGGGGAACGUUUACGCGCUCUCAAUUAAAAUGGUUGAACUCUGGAUAAUUUGUUGAUCGCAUGGUCUUGUACCGGCGACGGAUCUUUCAAAUGUCUGCCCUAUCAACUAUUGAAGGUAGUGUCUUGGACUACCUUGGUUGCAACGGGUAACGGGGAAUCAGGGUUCGAUUCCGGAGAGGGAGCCUGAGAAACGGCUACCACAUCUAAGGAAGGCAGCAGGCGCGUAAAUUACCCACUCCCAGCACGGGGAGGUAGUGACGAAAAAUAACAAUACAAGACUCACAUCCGAGGCCUUGUAAUUGGAAUGAGUACACUUUAAAUCCUUUAACAAGGAUCAAUUGGAGGGCAAGUCUGGUGCCAGCAGCCGCGGUAAUUCCAGCUCCAAUAGCGUAUAUUAAAGUUGUUGCGGUUAAAACGUUCGUAGUUGAACUUGUGCUUCGCACGGGCAAUACCAAGGAUCAUGUACUUGGUUCGGUAUCUUGUCUUAUCUUCAUUUAUUUUCGGAUAUGUGAAAAGUGCGUGAGCGUAUUAUCGGCGUGUUGUUUUUCUCAAUGGGAAACUUCACAUAAGCUUGCUUCAGUGCUCUUAAACAAGUGCAGUUGUAAGCCGAUACAAAUUACUUUGAACAAAUUAGAGUGCUUAAAGCAGGCUUGUAAUGCCUGAAUAUUUUGUGCAUGGAAUAAUGAAAUAGGACAUCUGUUCUACUUUCAUUGGUUUUUUAGACCAAGAUGUAAUGAUUAAUGGAAGCAGUUGGGGGCAUUAGUAUUACAACGCGAGAGGUGAAAUUCUUAGACCGUUGUAAGACUGACUAAAGCGAAAGCAUUUGCCAAAGAUGUUUUCAUUUAAUCAAGAACGAAAGUUAGAGGUUCGAAGGCGAUCAGAUACCGCCCUAGUUCUAACCAUAAACGAUGCCAGCUAGCAAUUGAGUGUAGCUACUACUAUGGCUCUUUCAGUCGCUUCUCGGGAAACCAAAGCUUUUGGGCUCCGGGGGAAGUAUGGUUGCAAAGCUGAAACUUAAAGGAAUUGACGGAAGGGCACCACCAGGAGUGGAGCCUGCGGCUUAAUUUGACUCAACACGGGAAAACUUACCAGGUCCGAACAUAAAUGAGUAAGACAGAUUGAUAGCUCUUUCUCGAAUCUAUGGGUGGUGGUGCAUGGCCGUUCUUAGUUCGUGGAGUGAUUUGUCUGGUUAAUUCCGAUAACGAACGAGACUCAAAUAUAUUAAAUAGAUGCAUUCAGGAUUAUGAUGUUGAAGCUUUGCAUACCCUAUUGUCAUUACUGCGAGUUAAGUGGUUUCGGCUAUUUAAUUUUAUGUAUGAUAAUGUUGUGGUUAUGUAGGUGGAAUCAUACCUGUUUGUUUGUCUAAAUACACAAAAUAGACACUUAGCUUCUUAAAUGGACAAAUUGUGUCUAACAAUAAUGAGAUUGAGCAAUAACAGGUCAGUGAUGCCCUUAGAUGUCCUGGGCUGCACGCGCGCUACAAUGAAGGUAUCAACGUGUGUUUCCUAGGCCGAGAGGUCCGGGUAAACCGAUGAACCACCUUCUUGCUUGGGAUUGUGAACUGAAACUGUUCACAUCAACCUGGAAUUCCCAGUAAGUGCGAGUCAUUAACUCGCAUUGAUUACGUCCCUGCCCUUUGUACACACCGCCCGUCGCUACUACCGAUUGAAUUGUUUAGUGAGGUCUCCGGACGUGAUCGCUGUGACGCCUCGUGUGUUAUAGUUGCUUCACAGAAGUUGACCGAACUUGGGUAUUUAGAGGAAGUAAAAGUCGUAACAAGGUUUC
Molecule: ribosomal RNA, 1950 nt
Filed under: Leia winthemii
Lineage: Eukaryota; Metazoa; Arthropoda; Insecta; Diptera; Mycetophilidae
Description: partial 18S ribosomal RNA
Rfam family: Eukaryotic small subunit ribosomal RNA
Source: RNAcentral